CUGUUAGCAGUAGCCAUCUGUGAAGAAUUUAUGACAGCUGGAGCUGCACUUUUCUCACCACUUCUUGCCUUGGCAGCUGCUAUUCCCAGGAUUUCAGAAAGAAUUGAUUUUGGGUUCAGGGCCAACUGUUGAAGAUCUUCAAGCUUCUUUUCCAUUGAGGCUGCAGCAGCUCGUGAAUGAAGUAAAGAGUUCCUCAGAACUAACACCUUUAUCACUCUGCAAGUCAUUGGAUGACUGCUGGACACCCUCAUCU
This 253-nucleotide unclassified non-coding RNA is filed under the name Hevea brasiliensis (rubber tree). The record is from RNAcentral. Lineage: Eukaryota; Viridiplantae; Streptophyta; Magnoliopsida; Malpighiales; Euphorbiaceae.